ACUCCUGCGGGAGGCAGCAGUGGGGAAUUUUGGACAAUGGGCGAAAGCCUGAUCCAGCAAUGCCGCGUGAGUGAAGAAGGCCUUCGGGUUGUAAAGCUCUUUUGUCAGGGAAGAAACGGUGAAAGCUAAUAUCUUUUGCUAAUGACGGUACCUGAAGAAUAAGCACCGGCUAACUACGUGCCAGCAGCCGCGGUAAUACGUAGGGUGCAAGCGUUAAUCGGAAUUACUGGGCGUAAAGCGUGCGCAGGCGGUUUUGUAAGUCUGAUGUGAAAUCCCCGGGCUCAACCUGGGAAUUGCAUUGGAGACUGCAAGGCUAGAAUCUGGCAGAGGGGGGUAGAAUUCCACGUGUAGCAGUGAAAUGCGUAGAUAUGUGGAGGAACACCGAUGGCGAAGGCAGCCCCCUGGGUCAAGAUUGACGCUCAUGCACGAAAGCGUGGGGAGCAAACAGGAUUAGAUACCCCGGUAGUCCC
Molecule: ribosomal RNA, 470 nt
Filed under: uncultured organism
Description: partial 16S ribosomal RNA
Rfam family: Bacterial small subunit ribosomal RNA
Source: RNAcentral